Long non-coding RNA from Oncorhynchus keta (chum salmon), 446 nucleotides. RefSeq lists it as uncharacterized. Lineage: Eukaryota; Metazoa; Chordata; Actinopteri; Salmoniformes; Salmonidae. The transcript has 3 exons. The record is from RefSeq and is a predicted model, not a curated record.
UUCCCCCCAGCAGUAUGACUGGGCGUACCUGUAGGUUUCCCCCCAGCAGUAUGACUGGGCGUACCUGUAGGUUUCCCCCCAGCAGUAUGACUGGGCGUACCUGUAGGUUUCCCCGCAGCAGUAUGACUGGGCGUACCUGUAGGUUUCCCCGCAGCAGUAUGACUGGGCGUACCUGUAGGUUUCCCCGCAGCAGUAUGACUGGGCGUACCUGUAGGUUUCCCCGCAGCAGUAUGACUGGGCGUACCUGUAGGUUUCCCCGCAGCAGUAUGACUGGGCGUACCUGUAGGUUUCCCCGCAGCAGUAUGACUGGGCGUACCUGUAGGUUUCCCCGCAGCAGUAUGACUGGGCGUACCUGUAGGUUUCCCCGCAGCAGUAUGACUGGGCGUACCUGUAGGUUUCCCCGCAGCAGUAUGACUGGGCGUACCUGUAGGUUUCCCCGCAGCAGU